Non-coding RNA from Lactuca sativa (garden lettuce), 1744 nucleotides. The record is from RefSeq and is a predicted model, not a curated record. NCBI's taxonomy places the organism in Eukaryota, Viridiplantae, Streptophyta, Magnoliopsida, Asterales, Asteraceae.
AAGGUUUUAAUUUUGGAAAUGAUUUAUAAAAGAACCGUUGGAAUUAGGAAGUCCAAAGGGUUGGGUCGGUGUGUAUUGGCGCCUAAUUUAUACCUUCUUCAGUCACUCAUAGUCAUCCCGCUGCUCUCCAAACACAACCAGAGACAUGUUUCAGUGAAGAAGAAAAGAAGAAGAAGAGGGUUUUAUUUGUAGGCACCACCUUCUUCUCUUUUUCUUCUAGCGACACCACCGUUUUCUCUCUCUUUCAUUAUCCGGCGUUCAACAAUCCUCUGUGUUUCCCUCUUCGUCUGUUAGUUAAAGUUCUUGAUUUUUUUUUGUGUGUAUUAUUGAUUUUGAUUUUGUUUUUGUUAGGUAUUUUCAAUAGGCCAAGAAGAUUCUUCAUGUCAUUACUGGAUUCAUCGGUCAGUUUGGUUUACCAUCAUCAUCGAUCAAGAAAAAGAUCAAACACUAUACAAAAGGAUCUUUUUCCGCUGAUUUCUAGCAUGUUUCAUCAUCGCUAAAAGGAUCAAACACUAUACAAAAGGUCGCCAAAUUGAAACCAAAGCAUCCAUCAAACGAAGAUGAUUUGCUCAAGCAAGUGGUGAUGUCGGCUUUUUUGUUGUUUCUUCAACUGACAUGGAUCCUAGUCUCUUUGGUGAAUAAAAUCAUUAUAUAUGAGAAUAUUCUCAAGACAUUGGAGACAAGCCCUGUUAUGUUAUCUGGUUUCAUUAACAGAAGAGGCUAAUAAUAAUGCACAGGUUUUAGAAACCAAAUAAAGAGCUUAUGUUAUGGUGGAGAAAAGGUAAAGAAGAUCCCCUGAGAAUCAAAGUGUGAACAUAUGUGGAUGUUCCUGAGAUGAAAUAUACGUCCGAUGAUCAACCAUCAUAUCCUGUUGGUGUAAUUUGUGUGUGUUCCAAGGCUACUACAAAGAUGAAGUGCAAACAAGAAGGAUGCAUGGUUUGGCUUCAUACAUGGAGGCGGCUUAAAGAUUAUAUUCAUGGGAUAACUGGAGCAGUCAAGAAGAGCAUAUAGAAAUCUAGAAAUAAAAAAAAAACUAAAUGACCAUGUAUGAUGCAAAGUUAUAUGUAUCUUAUCUUCCUUUGGCACACAUUUAUGAAAGGUCCAACCGGAUCAUAUUGGCAUACUAUGGUUGGUGGCUCAGCUGGAUUUUAUCAAAGAGAUAACUUGAAGUUGUUGGAUGACAUGGCAUAACUGAGACCUACUAUAUAUUCUAUAGCGUUCCAGGAUAAUGUAACAGAGAUAUCAGGGAAGAGAAAUGCCACAUCGUGUGGUCUUUUGUGGGUUGAAAUAUUAAUAACAAGUGGUCAGUAUAAAGAAGAUGUCAGUUUUUACCGUUGUAUAACUGAUGAGGAUAAAACAUGCCAUUCUUGCAUACAGAAAUGCUCUUUCUGUAGAAGCCAUAUUUUGUGUGCCACACAGACAUUGCCAUUUGCAAAAGAGACAAAAGAUUCCAAUGGGAGAGGGGACCACAGACAACCACGAGGGAACUACAAAGUUAGCAGGACAGCAGGGGCAUUUUGGGAAUUAAGGCAGAUCCUCUGUCAUUUUAGGUUAUAUAAUAUGGGAGGGCCUUUGUUAGAAAGGCAGGCAGAAUAUUUUAGAAGUUUCUUCUUCUUUUGUGAGACCAUAGCAUCUCGAAUUGCUAUAUCUUUCCUGUUCUUCAUUUGUUCUUGAUUUGUUAUGAAGUCACUUAAUUGAUAACUUCUGUUGUUUUGAUAGUUAAUCAUUUGGUUCAUUUCUUUAA